Molecule: ribosomal RNA, 465 nt
Filed under: uncultured bacterium
Lineage: Bacteria
Description: partial 16S ribosomal RNA
Rfam family: Bacterial small subunit ribosomal RNA
Source: RNAcentral
CCUACGGGAUGCAGCAGUGGGGAAUAUUGCGCAAUGGGCGAAAGCCUGACGCAUCGACGCCGCGUGAGGGAUGAAGGUCUUCGGAUCGUAAACCUCUGUCAGCAGGGAAGAACGGUCACUGUGCUAAUCAGCAGUGAAUUGACGGUACCUGCACAGGAAGCACCGGCUAACUCCGUGCCAGCAGCCGCGGUAAUACGGAGGAUCCGCGCGUUAUCCGGAUUUAUUGGGUUUAAAGGGUGCGUAGGCGGUUUGAUAAGUUAGAGGUGAAAUGUCGGGGCUCAACCCCGAAACUGCCUCUAAUACUGUUGGACUAGAGAAUAGUUGCGGUAGGCGGAAUGUAUGGUGUAGCGGUGAAAUGCUUAGAGAUCACGAAGAACUCCGAUUGCGAAGGCAGCCUACUAAACUGCCACUGACAUUGAUGCUCGAAAGUGUGGGUAUCAAACAGGAUUAGAUACCCCAGUAGUC